RNAcentral lists this transfer RNA (79 nucleotides) under Penicillium paxilli ATCC 26601. RNAcentral's name for it is "tRNA-Leu (AAG) (tRNA-Leu-AAG-2-1)". It matches the Rfam family "tRNA". From Rfam's summary of the family: Transfer RNA (tRNA) molecules are approximately 80 nucleotides in length. Their secondary structure includes four short double-helical elements and three loops (D, anti-codon, and T loops). The record is from RNAcentral. Lineage: Eukaryota; Fungi; Ascomycota; Eurotiomycetes; Eurotiales; Aspergillaceae.
GGCAAGAUGGCCGAGUGGUUAAGGCGGUAGCUUAAGGCGCUACUGGGAAACCGCGUGGGUUCGAAUCCCACUCUUGUCA